GCGCCCGCGGCCUCUGGGCCUCGUCAGCCUGCUCGGCCGCAGCAGGAGCUGCGGACGCUGCGGGGAGAAAGGCGGGGACCGAAAGGGCGGGCUCCGGGAGGUGGGGCGCCGCGACGUGGGCGCCGUGAGGGCCGCACGCGGGGGGCACCGGGGGCCUGCUUCCGGGGCUCGCGACCCGCGGGCUCCGUCCGGGUCUCCGGACAGCAGCGGGUUGCGCCACAGGCUUUUUCCCGGGGCCGCUCGGGGCGGGGCGGCGCACUGCAGAGGCUCCGGGUCGCCGCCCGUUGAGGGAAACGGUGGGGGGCCGGAGCGUCUGCUUGCACAACCCCCUUCUCGGGCCCGCCGGGGAUCCCGGAGCGGCUGCGGGUCUGGGGCCGGCGUCCGCCUCGCGGUCUUCACUCACCGCUGAAAACGAAUACCCUGUCCGCGCGUGGAGAUGCAAAGCACUGAAAACCGCAGCGGGGACCCGAGUUGCCCUUUAGGACAGACUGUCGCUCCCUGGGAAGAUUCCUCUCGCGACCACAGCCUGUUGUCUGGGGACAGCUAAGGAGAACACUGCCCAAAACUGGACCUGAAGCCACAAGCUCUUUCCAACUUCAUCAGUGACCUUGGACGCCUCUGCUAAACAAGGUGUCUCUGUUGAAUUUCCUGAUUCUGGGGAUAAACGUGGCUAUUCACUUUCUAACUCUACGGAGGUCAUCUUCAUCAAGAACUUUCCACCUGCCUCAGGUCUUGGGAGAGCCAAUCACUGCCCAUUUAUAUGUGUUACCCAGUGAGCUGUGCACUAUUAUCAUCCUCUUUUUACAGAUGAAGAAAUUGAGGUCCAAGGAUGAUUAAUAAAGUUCUGGCCAGCUGUGUUCUGGCCAGCUGUAUGACCUUGGACAAGAUACUGAACUUGGCUAAGUGGAUUGUCCUCAUCUAUAAAACGAGGACAAACUUUGCUGUCUGCCAGAAGACUUCAAGGCUUGAAUGAGGCAGCAUCUGUGGAGCUCUUUGUGAACUGCAAAGCCACUUGUACUGUAAAGUAUUAAUGAACUGCCCAUUCUACUCCCUAAUGUAUGUACUUUUACCGCUGGUUGUGAUGUCGCACAAUCCACUAUCUCAGAUAGGCUUCCAUUAUUUCUUUAAUGCCCUGCACAGCCAAACAUCUGUCCCUGGCUUCUUCGUGUCUUCCUGGAGGGCAGAUCUCUUUAGUCUGCUCCUGGCUAAAGGCUAUCGUCAGAGAAAGUACAACUUGCUUUUUCUGAAACCAAAGACAUUUCAGCUUUGAAUUCCUAGUCAUUAUGCUAUUUAUUGAUUGUGCACAUGUUUAUUGUGCCUAUUCUGUCAGACCCUGCUCUCAGCACUGAGAUUUGGUCACCUGAUGGAUGUCUUCUGUUUGCCCCUGCAGAUCUGGACUCCAGCCUUCUCCAGUCUGCUCUUUACCCCCAGAGGCUGAUCUGUGGGGACUGCUGGCUCCCUUUAGUGUUCAGUUCCAGAAAGGGUCAGCAGGCAGUUUAAGGGAUGGUUGGAGGGAGGGAGUUAAGGCAUGUAUUUUCCAGGCUCCCUUCUAAAGAGAGACCGUGGGCCAGCAGUACCCUUCCACUAUAGGUCCUCUCUCUUGUUGUUGGUCCUCUCCAACAGCCUCUCAUUCUCUGGGCUCCAGUGCCCUGUAGGCCGAGAAGUGACUCAGGCCCUGAGUGCUGCACUGCCCCUGUGCAACAGAAGUCAUGCAGUAGUCCCUUGGUAAAUGGUCUCUUAUUAAACUUUCUCCAGCUACUCAUCUGCUUCCUGCUGGGGCCCUGGUAGAUUUAAGCAAUAAACAAGAUGUAGAAGACCUUGCUCUUUAUGGGACUUACAUCCUAGAGGCAAAGAUAGAUAAUUAACAAACAACAAUAAGCAAAAUCAUAAUCAUAAUAAAUAGUGAUAUUACCUUUGUGAAAAGAAAAGUUUAUUUGAUAGAAAGAAUCUAGGGUGUUGGGCAAGGUACAACGUUAGACAGGGUAGCAGGAAAAACUUUUUAAAAUUUUUUUCAAUGUUUAUUUUUGAGAGAGAGAGAGACAGAGAGAAAGAGAGAGAGACAGAGUGCAAGUAGGGGAGGGGCAGAGAGAGAGGGAGACACAGAAUAGGAGGCAGGCUCCAGGCUCUGAGCUGUCAGCACAGAGCCUGAUGCAGGGUGGACUGCGAGAUCAUGACCUGAGCUAAAGUCAGAUGCUCAACCGACUGAGCCACCCAGGCGCCCCAGCAGGGGAAACUUUUCAGAGGAGGUAAUAUUUAAUUUGAGAUCAUAUUGACAAAGUGAUGAGGGAGAAUAAAGUGCAGGCAGAGGAAAAGCACUGGUACAAAGGUCCUGAGGUAGGAAUGAGAACAAAGAACAUAGAGAAGGCUGGGGUGGCUGGACAUCAUGAAUUCAGAGUGUAAGGGUAGGAAAUAAGGAAAUCCUGAAAGUGACCAAGUGUCAAGGCACCCAGCCUAACAAUGAUAAUAUAGUAGUAUAGGAUAUUUGGUUGGUAAGGUACAUGCUCCAAGAUGUUUUGUUACAUAUACCAGAUAUUUCUGCCUACCUACCUGGAGAUUUCAGAAGGACAACAGAUGAAUAAUAAUUUCCCCUCACUGGAAAAUACAAGUCUUAUUUGUAUCUCUGAAUUAUAUUUUUCAAAAAUUGCACUGUGUUUUUUACAGGUCAGGGUCAAACAUUCUCCAUCCCUCCUCUCCAGAUUCUUUUUUAAAAAACAUGCCUUGGGCUUCUGUCUCAGUCUGCCAUUUUCCAUCUCUGCGUGUCAUCCACAUGUCUAGACCUGGGAAUGUUUUAUGCCUUUUCAAAACUCUCUUCCAGAGAGCAAGCCAGUCAUGCUUACAGCUCAUUACUUCUCAGAUCAAGCUUCCCUUGUGAUUUUCCCCCUUAAAAAAUGUAGAACCAGUGCCUCUGAUACCAUGUUUGGGAAGAUCAGGCCCCUCACUGCAGGUGUCCGACUCUUGUAAAACUUUCUUAUCUCACAACCCUACAAGCCUUGCGGCUGUCUUCACAGUGGUACUGGGAGCCUCCAACACAGCAGCUGAGUCUACAGUUGGACCGCCUACAAUGCCCUGAUGAUCACAGAUAUGGUGAAGGGGAGCAAAAUAUACCACUUCAAGAUAGGCCUUUUUGGCAUAUUGAUUAUUUUGAGCUGGUUAUUUUUAAGAGACUGCAGACAUGGGAGAAGCACUGAAAACUGAGCAGAUGUUACCCUUUUGUAAGAGACAUUUACAUUUAUAAGGGGAAUCUUCAUUUGUAAGACUGUCUUCCUCUCUGUUUGGGAAGAGAAGGAUGACUAAAUUUCCAGAAACUCUUAUCAAUGAAAAAGGCAAGGGCUUAAAACCUGAUGACAACCUUACCCUGUUUACGUGCUUUUCCUAAUAACUUCCAAUAACUGCCCUCCUCCUCCCCAACAUCUUUUUUGUUUGUUUGUUUGUUUGUUUGUUUGUUUUUAGCUGGAGAUGUUAUUUGAGGUGGUGGCUUAGGCCCUUCCAGGGGACUUACUCAGUUUUCCUGCGUUUUUCUUAUGUGUACGGGAGAAAUAUAUGUUAUUAAACUUCUGGGGCUUUUUUUCCUGUUAAUUUGUCUGUUAUCACAGUGGGGUCUCAGCCAAGAACCUGCGAGGGUAGAGGGCACAUUGUUUUUCUUCAUAUACAAUGUAAAACACCUGUCUUUGAGAAAAAUUUUUGAAGCAAAUUCUUUAAAAUUCCAACUUAAAAAAAAUUUAAACUGAGACUAUAUCAAGGAUAAUUGAGUCUCUUUACAUCGAGCAUAAAAAGGGUAAGUGAUGUUUGUGAUUAAUGAAUCAGUACCCGGAGACUACACUUAAUGUUUGAUUAGUAUAUUUGACUCUUGGGUUUAAUAGUACCUUCCAAGAAACAGAAUUACAUUGGGUCAUUCAACAUUUAGGAAGAGGAACUUGGUGAAACGCUAGAAUUUCAAGAUAUAAUAGUUUUCUGGGAAUUUGCUCAAUGUGGGGCUUGGUAAGUGGAAACCUUGGAACUUAAAAUUCAUUCCAUAUCUGGAGUUUUGGCUCUCUGUUGAAAUGCUGUGGGCAGUAACACAUGUGGAACAUUCACAAUCAUGUCUAGACUAGAGAGAGAGGGAGAGGACUUGUGGAUGAGGUAAAUUGUUGGGUGACUGACAUCCCAUUUAAAAACUUGUAUUUGUGAUUUCUAAUUCUGACUUCCGCAUUACUAUAUGAAAACCACUAGAUGGCAGGAGUGAACAACAUAAAAAAUACAACAUGGCUUCUAACUGAAAAAACUAGUUUUAUGUAUCUCUUGCUUUCCCCACCUCCCCACUUUUCAUAAGCUCUUGUCUUGUCUUGUUUUUUCAUUUUUCCUCUUUCUGUCCCUCAUUGUAUUUGUGUUUCUAGUUAUAAUUUUAAAUAACUGAUCCUCAAGAAUUACACAGCAGUUUGUAAAGAAUCAGACCUGAAAACCAGUCAGCAGUGCUUGUAAUUUGAAUAAUAAAGCAGAAAUUAUUUUCUCUAAUUCAAGAGGUCUUGUAUAACUGCUUUCUAUUUGAGCUGAGGAUAAAACUUCAGAGACUAUUGAGACUCAGAAAGGCUCAUGUUUCAGUCCUGUCCUCACAGAGGCAUGUUGGGGUGGGGGGCGGCUUGUGUGUGCAGAUAAGCAGGACUGAACCAGAGAGAAUGAAAAAGCACAAAGACCUUUGGAGCUCUGUGUAAACCGAUAAGCCAUAUUCUUUCUCAAGAGGCGAUUUGAUAAUGAUCAAGGUGCUGUGCUGAAGUUAUUCCUAAAAACAUCCAACACUCACCACCCCCCC
This is a long non-coding RNA of Acinonyx jubatus (cheetah), 4786 nucleotides long. RefSeq lists it as uncharacterized. The transcript is spliced from 4 exons. NCBI's taxonomy places the organism in Eukaryota, Metazoa, Chordata, Mammalia, Carnivora, Felidae. The record is from RefSeq and is a predicted model, not a curated record.